Molecule: ribosomal RNA, 447 nt
Filed under: uncultured bacterium
Lineage: Bacteria
Description: bacterial SSU rRNA
Rfam family: Bacterial small subunit ribosomal RNA
Source: RNAcentral
UCGGGAAUUUUGGGCAAUGGGCGAAAGCCUGACCCAGCAACGCCGCGUGAAGGAUGAAGUAUUUCGGUAUGUAAACUUCGAAAGAAUAGGAAGAAUAAAUGACGGUACUAUUUAUAAGGUCCGGCUAACUACGUGCCAGCAGCCGCGGUAAUACGUAGGGACCAAGCGUUGUUCGGAUUUACUGGGCGUAAAGGGCGCGUAGGCGGCAAUUCAAGUCAUCUGUGAAAUCUCCGGGCUUAACUCGGAACGGUCAGAUGAUACUGCUUUGCUAGAGUGUGGAAGGGGCGAUUGGAAUUCCGUGUGUAGCGGUGAAAUGCGUAGAUAUACGGAGGAACACCAGAGGCGAAGGCGGAUCGCUGGGCCAACACUGACGCUGAGACGCGAAAGCUAGGGUAGCAAACGGGAUUAGAUACCCCCGUAGUCCCUGAGCGGGCUGGCAAGGCGCAU